RNAcentral lists this long non-coding RNA (225 nucleotides) under Erythranthe guttata (spotted monkey flower). RNAcentral's name for it is "long non-coding RNA (EGUT_LNC001398)". Lineage: Eukaryota; Viridiplantae; Streptophyta; Magnoliopsida; Lamiales; Phrymaceae. The record is from RNAcentral.
GAUAAUUAAGAUAGUUUCGACGAGUCGGGUUGAUUCAGUGUUGACAAGAGACUCCGGCCAGAUUACUCAUAUGGAAGAACUUUCGAUUGUUUUGAUGUUGGUUAUGUGGUUUUAUCUAUGUUUACUUCUUACUAGGAUUUUGGACACCGUUCUUGCUAUUUUCUACAUGAUCCUCCCUUCGGAGGAUGAUGAUGAUUAGACUAGACUACGUAUAAAUCGGGCCCC